AUGGCAUGUUACUGGUGGAGUAGUUCCAUCGACCGGCGUUCACUACAUUGGAUCGAUUGGAAAUCACUUGCAUCCCCCAAAAUGCAUGGAGGAAUGGGCUUUCGGAACCUUGAAACCUUUAACUUGGCCAUGUUGGGUAAACACGACUGGAGGAUGAUCACAGGCCCGGAGUCUCUAUGUGCUCGAGUGUUAAAAGGACGAUACUUCCCAUCCUUGGACUUCUUGCAUGCUGCUAUUCCAAGAGGUUCUUCAUCAACCUGGCGGGCGAUUGUAGCAGGUCGGGAGAGUCUUUUAGGUGGGCUUGAUCCGCAGGACUGGCGAUGGCACGUAAGUAUCGAUAUGGUCGGACAGAUGGAUUUUAGGUAA
RNAcentral lists this ribosomal RNA (366 nucleotides) under Triticum aestivum (bread wheat). RNAcentral describes it as "partial small subunit ribosomal RNA". The record is from RNAcentral. Lineage: Eukaryota; Viridiplantae; Streptophyta; Magnoliopsida; Poales; Poaceae.